AAGGUAAAAUGUGUAGGUACAUUGCAUUAUUUAUGGAUCACAGUGUCAGCUUGUUGUGAUUGUGACCUUUAUCAGAUGCUAAUCUGGGAAUUUGCUUAGUGUUUGUUAAACAUUUUCAUUCCUUGACAUUUUUUAUGCAUUAUAAAAAAAAAGGCAAAUCCCAGUAAGUCUGUCCUCCAAGAAGAGCUGAGCUGGCCCCGUAUAAUGCAAAGUUAAAGGUGUCAAAAUGGUUUGCUCUCCUUAAAUAUUCAAUAAUCUCCUGAUUGUAAAACAUGCCUAAUUAUACUUACAUUUAAUUAGAAUGGAAAACUCUUAGUGUCUAUUACAAAGCUGCUCUUAGUGCCUAGUGCAAAGUCUUAUUAUAAAAUCAGUUAUCAAGAAGAGUCUCUAAUAUCCAAAACAGUACCUGUGAUGCCAAUCAUAAUGAGAUAUAUUGUUACUUUUAUAGAAAAGGAAAAAAAACUCCAUUGCUAUGAUAACUAAUGGUCUAUUAUUUUCAAUUGGUACACAGCUAUAUAUAAUAAAUCACUUCAUUAUUUGGAGGGCAGAUAUGAGAGUUGGUUAACCAUGCAUCUGAAGGUGACAUUGUAGGAUGUGUGGAUCCUAAAACUACAAAAUGUAAAAUGAAGAAUUUUGCCCAUUGAAAAUGUUCUUUCUUUUCCGAGUCAUAUUCGAAGCAGACAUAC
Molecule: long non-coding RNA, 686 nt
Organism: Spea bombifrons (plains spadefoot toad)
Lineage: Eukaryota; Metazoa; Chordata; Amphibia; Anura; Pelobatidae
Exons: 2
Source: RefSeq, a predicted model, not a curated record